AUGAACGCUGGCGGCGUGCCUAAUACAUGCAAGUCGAGCGAACGGACGAGAAGCUUGCUUCUCUGAUGUUAGCGGCGGACGGGUGAGUAACACGUGGAUAACCUACCUAUAAGACUGGGAUAACUUCGGGAAACCGGAGCUAAUACCGGAUAAUAUUUUGAACCGCAUGGUUCAAAAGUGAAAGACGGUCUUGCUGUCACUUAUAGAUGGAUCCGCGCUGCAUUAGCUAGUUGGUAAGGUAACGGCUUACCAAGGCAACGAUGCAUAGCCGACCUGAGAGGGGGAUCGGGCACCAUGGAACUGAGACAAGGUCCAGAACCCUAAGGGAGGCAGGAGUAGGGAAUCUUCCGGAAAGGGGGGAAACCUGAAGGAGCAAAGCCGCGGGAGUGAUGAAAGUCUUCGGAUCGUAAAACUCUGUUAAUAAGGAAGAACAUAUGUGUAAGUAACUGUGCACAUCUUGACGGUACCUAAUCAGAAAGCCACGGCUAACUACGUG
This 496-nucleotide ribosomal RNA is filed under the name uncultured bacterium. Its description in RNAcentral is "partial 16S ribosomal RNA". It matches the Rfam family "Bacterial small subunit ribosomal RNA", at positions 29 to 507 of the family's 1533-position model. The record is from RNAcentral.